CUUAACCAACAGUGUAGACCUUACCGUGAAAUGCGUACUUACAAGCCCUUAACCAACAGUGUAGACCUUACCGUGAAAUGCUUACUUACAAGCCCUUAACCAACAGUGUAGACCUUACAGUGAAAUGCUUACUUACAAGCCCUUAACCAACAGUGUAGACCUUACUGUGAAAUGCUUACUUACAAGCCCUUAACCAACAGUGUAGACCUUACCGUGAAAUGCUUACUUACAAGCCCUUAACCAACAGUGUAGACCUUACCGUGAAAUGCUUACUUACAAGCCCUUAACCAACAGUUUAGACCUUACCGUGAAAUGCUUACUUACAAGCCCUUAACCAACAGUUUAGACCUUACCGUGAAAUGCUUACUUACAAGCCCUUAACCAACAGUGUAGACCUUACCGUGAAAUGCUUACUUACAAGCCCUUAACCAACAGUGUAGACCUUACCGUGAAAUGCUUUACUUACAAGCCCUUAACUCUUCUUGAAAUUCACUGUUGGUUAAGAAAAUAUUGACCAAGUAGACUAAAAUAAAAAGUAACACAAUAAGAAUAACAAUAACGUGGCUAUAUACAGGGGGCACCGGUACCGAGUCAGUGUGCGGGGGUACACGUUAGUUGAGCCUUUUGGUCCUAGAUUUGGCGCUCUGGUACUGCUUGCUGUGCGGUAGAGAAGAAAGUCUCUGAUCUGGUGAAAGCUAGGAUUCCUUAUUGAUGUAACCUGUUAAAUCCACUUCAAAUAGUUUAGAUGAAGGGGAGGAGAUGGGUUAAAGAAGGCAUUUUAAGACUUGAAAUUGUAUAUGUGUGCCAAUGAGGGUGAAUGGGAAAGAAAAAAUUUAAGUGCCUUUGAACGGGGUAUGGUAGUAGAUGUCAGGCGCACCGGUUUCUGUCAAGAACUGCAACGCUGCUGGUUUUUCAUGCUCAACACUUUCCCCUGUGUCUCAAGAAUGGUCCACCACCCAAAGGACAUCCAGCCAACUUGACACAACUGUGGGAAGGAUUGGAGUCAACAUCCCUGCGAAUUGAGGCAGGAUGGUGUUUCUUGUACACAGUGUAUAUUGUGUUACAUUCUUUACUAUGAUUUAUUCAAAGAAGGAAUACUUUUCACUAUUACAUGAUUGUGGAUGUAUAAUGUAUUAAUUUAUGUACUAUUUUACAAUCAAUGUAUGUAAAACAUGAUAAAUACAUUUAAAAUGUCUACUUUCAUGGAAUAGUCUGUGUUUUGGCUUUAGUUCCUGAGAGCAGUGCUUUUGGAGGUUGAAAUCCUUAGGUACACAACAAAUCUGUAUGUCUUACAAACUGAAGGUCAUGACUUCACAGCCAGCUGAAAUCCUGUUUCAUCCAUACCUUUCACUCCCCCGAUCUCUCUUUCCUAUCCUCCUCUCACAGUCAGGUCAGUGUAUGCGGACUAUUUUUAGGAGAAUUGUUCCCCAUAUCAUGUUCAGACGGUCAGCAGAACCAGGGCAGGACACUGCUGUACUGUCUGCUGCUGCUUAGUCAGAAACAUGUCUCCUGCCUUGUGGCUUUGUGAGACUUCAGAUAUUUCCAAUCAAAUUGUAUUUGAUACCAUACAUUGAGUAUAUUAAUUAAUUGCACAAGAAAUUGCUUCCCACACAGUUUUGAAUGACUUAUGUACAAUUAAAUUAUUGAACCGUUGAAUAAAUGAUGCAUAUUGGAAAAAAACAGUAAAGAUGUUGAGUCAAGGGUUUUAUAAUGAAGAG
Molecule: long non-coding RNA, 1718 nt
Organism: Oncorhynchus tshawytscha (Chinook salmon)
Lineage: Eukaryota; Metazoa; Chordata; Actinopteri; Salmoniformes; Salmonidae
Source: Ensembl